Molecule: long non-coding RNA, 286 nt
Organism: Homo sapiens (human)
Lineage: Eukaryota; Metazoa; Chordata; Mammalia; Primates; Hominidae
Source: Ensembl
AAGCUGGUGUCUGGCCACCAAAGGCAGGCGUGCAGGGCCUUGGCUACUGCGCUAGGUCUGCUGAUGGCCACAAGCCUUUAGUCCCAGCUCUGCCUUAGCAAUGGGGGUGUCUGAAGGCUCAGGGGAUACACAGGUCCUCUAGGUUCCUGGGGAGAUGAUGGAAAGAAGCUUGCAAUAACUAAUUAGCAGCUCCGGCCACUGGAGAAAGCUCAAUGCCUUGAGAAAAGCAAAUGCACCGGAGAAACAAGUUAGAUAGAGCUGAAUUAAAGGUGAGCUUUUGGCCAGG